GACGGAGGGUGCAAGCGUUGUUCGGAAUUAUUGGGCGUAAAACGCUCGUAGGUGGCUACGUCAAGUCGGACGUGAAAUCUCCCGGCUUAACUGGGAGAGGUCGCUCGAUACUGGCGAGCUCGAGGCAGGUAGGGGGAAGCGGAAUUCCCGGUGUAGUGGUGGAAUGCGUAGAUAUCGGGAGGAACACCAGUGGCGAAGGCGACUACCUGGCCUGUUUCUUGACGCUGAGGCGCGAAAGCUAGGGGAGCAAACGGG
RNAcentral lists this ribosomal RNA (255 nucleotides) under uncultured bacterium. RNAcentral describes it as "partial 16S ribosomal RNA". It matches the Rfam family "Bacterial small subunit ribosomal RNA", at positions 524 to 776 of the family's 1533-position model. The record is from RNAcentral.